RNAcentral lists this ribosomal RNA (301 nucleotides) under uncultured bacterium. RNAcentral's name for it is "partial 16S ribosomal RNA". It matches the Rfam family "Bacterial small subunit ribosomal RNA", at positions 509 to 809 of the family's 1533-position model. The record is from RNAcentral.
CAGCAGCCACGGGAAUACGAAGGGGGCUAGCGUUGUUCGGAAUUACUGGGCGUAAAGGGCGCGUAGGCGGCCAUUCAAGUCAGAUGUGAAAGCCCUGGGCUCAACCUAGGAAUUGCAUUUGAUACUGUUUGGCUUGAGUUCGGGAGAGGUGAGUGGAAUUCCCAGUGUAGAGGUGAAAUUCGUAGAUAUUGGGAAGAACACCAGUGGCGAAGGCGGCUCACUGGACCGACACUGACGCUGAGGCGCGAAAGCGUGGGGAGCAAACAGGAUUAGAUACCCCCGUAGUCCCUGUCUCUUAUAA